Molecule: non-coding RNA, 4462 nt
Organism: Phalacrocorax carbo (great cormorant)
Lineage: Eukaryota; Metazoa; Chordata; Aves; Suliformes; Phalacrocoracidae
Source: RefSeq, a predicted model, not a curated record
CGGCUCGCUGCGCUGCAGCCUGCCUCCCUCCCUCCCAGCGCCACACACGGCCCCUCCGCCAAUCACCGCGCCGCAACGCGCGGGCAGCGCACCGCCCGUGACGUCAGCCGGGGCCAUGGCAACGGCGAAGGCGCGAGCACGAGCCCGCGCCUCCCUCUCCCGUUCUCCGGCGCGCCGCAGGGCGGAGGCCUCGCCAACCGCCACGGGCGCGCGGGUCGGCGGGACACGCCUAGAAUUGGCGGUCCCGCCCGCGGGCGCGUGCACCCGCCGCCCCCCCCCCCCCCCCAUUCCCCCAACAACGACUGCGGAGCCGAGCGGGGCGGGGGGUCGGCCGCGCUGCGGGGCUGCCGCAGGACCCGGCCCGGCCGGGGCAGGGCGGUGUCCCGCCCGCUCGGCCCUGGCCUCUGACACGGCUGCCUCGUCCGGCACGGCUUGGCUUGGCACGGCACGGCACGGCACGGCCGGGAGUCCCCUUCACCCGCCCCUGCCUUCACCACCGGUCGGCUGAGGAGACCCGCGGUGGCGGAGCUGGCCCCGGGCGCUGUGUGGAAUUCUAGUGCCUUCCAUUUACUCCAAGGUUUAAUGAAUUUCAUUCACGUUCCUGUGGAAUAUUGCUGGAACACUUGUGAAGAGAGCUAAAAAAAAGCAAAGCGGGCAAUAUCGGGUAGAGCAAAGCUCACCAGAAUUUACUAGCUGUGUCAGGUGAGAACAUUGCUGUUGCUUAAUUUAAAUGUGAAGAAGAAUAUAACCUUUCUUUUUACUUCCCCAGUGAUGCUUUGUUGGGCUAUACAGAUACAGAGUUCGUUUUUGAAACAAGCAUUGUAACACUCAGGUUCAUAAUGUAUUCCAAUACACAAUGCUUCGUCUUAUCUGUUUUUAUAUUUUAUCAUUAUUUUCCACUUUAGGAAGCAAUAGGAGGAGAGCUCGAGAGCUGUACUUGAACACAGAUGGUAUGAUGGCACAGCAUUUGCUGCAACUUGCUUCAAGUUAUGUUACAGAGUUCAUUUUUAACAUAAGCUUUAAACCUUUAUUUUGUAGAAAAGUCUCAUUGAAAUGGCAACCACCCAUAUAUAGACUAUACAUUUUCAGAGGUGCUUGAAUAUUUUGUGGUAACAUGAUGAAAAAUUAACUGAUACAGGAAAAUUAAUAAUCCUUAAAAGUGUGUAAAGAAUCCAGACUGGAGCAUAUGUUAGAUGAAGCACAGGUAUGUAUUGCUUUUUGGUAUCUCCAGGAAGUAUAGGGGAACUCCUUGUGAAGUAGCCUGUAAUACUGUAUUAAUAGUUUUGUGGAAGGAAAACAUCAGCCUUUCCAUUCAUUCCUUUCCAUUAUUUCUGGUUUUGGAGUGAAUGGAACAUCUCCUGCAACAACCCUAAUUGCCACUAACCAUAGUUUGUGUUUGCCAACAGCCCCAUGUGUCAAUAGAUGCUGCACUCCUUCCCCUUUAAGUGGGUUAUUUCUGCCAAACACCAUUUCCACUCCUCUGGAUUUCAUGAAUGCUGCCAUUUGAAACAGAUCCAAGGAAUUAGACAUUACUCACCUUUGCAUACGCUGUCUCGUGAACAGAUACUCUCCUGCUGUCUUCUAUUCUUAUAUUUCCUGCACUUUUUCCCCAGCAUGGAAUGUUUUAUUUUGUCUUUCUUAUUACAGUUUUGACCAGGGAACUUUGUCUCUUAAAAAGAUAGGCUUUAAGCAGUUUCCCUUUUCUUCAAAAGCAUUUUCCCUUCUGCUCUCCACACAGCUUUUUGUUCAAUGACUUGCACUUUCACUAUCUCAGACUGUCAGGCGUACUUGUCGGCAGCUAGGAGCAAAAACUCAUUUGUAGAGUUAGACACAUUUGCAUAUAAAAGUAUAUAUAUAUAUGUUUAUUUACAUUGCUUCUCUCUUUCUUAUAUGAGAGGAAGAAACUGAGGGACAGGGUGGGGGGACGACCCAGAUAUCUUUUAUUUUCCCUCUACCACAGCAUUUAGUUCUUUCUUCUUCCCUCUCAUCCUUUGUCCCAUAAGUGUUUAGUUAUUCUUCCCUGUGCCUAACCAUGUUUAAUUAAAAGUGGACAGGUAGCAAGGCAGGGUUAUCUAUGAACUAGAAGAUGGCAGGAUUUUUGGGGGGUUACCCUCGCAUAGGCCACAGAAGGCAGUCCAGGAAGUCUGUAGGAAUAGCUCUUCAAAGUCGGCGAAUGUGGUCAGGACCGGAAGGCACGGCAGUGGUUGCUCUCAGUGCUAACCAGGCUGCUGCUAGAAAAUGGAGAUGUUCUGAUUGACUGUUUUUUUCCUGGGAACAGGAAAAUGAGGAAAGGCAGCCUAGCAAAGGGCAUUUCUCUGGAGACCAGGAGAUGAUUCUGCAAAUCUGCGGCCUGCAGGGGGAAAAAAAAAGAAGAGUUGGCAGCUCUGUUGUAUGCUCUCCUGCUGUCAGGAGCUACUUUUCUGAAAGCUGCUUGCUCAAAAUCCUGACUGUUUUGACUUUGUUACAUACAUACCUUUCUGUGCUGAUUCUCAGGCUACAUGAUUAUACUGUAUAUAGGAGUACUCUUAUGCAGCCUUUGUGUGUUUCUGUAGGGCUUUGAGCCUCUUGCCUUCCACUUAGCAAGAGCAAGAUCAUCAGAGUAUUACCACUUUUCUGGAAUAAAAAACAUUUAUUAACAUUUUUAGGAAUAUGUCCUAGCUAUCUUUAUUUCCUUGGCCACAGCCUGUGAUUUACAAGUCAAACUUCAAGCUUUGCCAAGGGAAUGAGAUACUUCAUUCCUCUCCCUUGUAGUCUGUGCUGUUGGAUCAACUGACACCCUUUGUCCUUGGGAUACUCUUGUAGGUUGACCCAACUGAGAGACUUCAGUGAAGGAUGGGUGCAUUUUAGAUUUUUCUUUUUGUUCCUUUUUCCCCCUGCAGUGGUCUAAAAUUAGUCAGAUUCUGACUCUGUGUCAGGUGCCAGUGAUAAAACAUACAAAUUGUGUAAAAGGCUGCUAUUUUCCAUCACUGAGUGGAAAGUAGUUAGAGCUGCUGGAUCCCACAUGGCCUUUCUCUCUGCCUCAUCAAAGAUGUCAUGAGAACCUUCUCUAACCUCCUCACCUGUCUAUCCAUAGCCAAAUUUUAUAGAAAAUGGCAUAUUUAGCUGAAGAAUCAGAGUACCAGUGAGGCCUGCUUAAGUAAUCCCAUACCUUGGAUUAAAAUCCUGAAACGAUUUUGGAUGUGGACUAGUUUAAAUAUAUAUAUAUAUAUUAGAGAGUUAGUGAGUGAUUGGAAGUGUCCCCUAGGAUGAUUCCUCAGAUUUGGCCGUCAAUAAAACACAAAGGUAAUUUUCACAAAAAUAAUUUUAAAAUGUUUGCAAACAUCUUGUCACCAAAUUGACAAGUAUCCAAGAAGGAUGUCAGGAUACCCGCUGAAUAAAUGGCAUCGAAGUGAUGAACAUUCCUUCAUUCUGAAAAAAAGUGAUGUAAAAUGGCAACUUCCUUCACAGAACUUGUCACCAAAUGAUGAAGAUAAAUCAGCACUGUUCUUUACUGCAUACUGACCUUCCUGAGAAAGGAAGCUAGAUACUGUUCUUUCUCAUUUAUAAAAAGCUCCAGGAAGGUAUGAAAGGCUUUAAGUUUGUACAGGUGUCAUUAAAAAGCUGAAUUUAAUCUAAAUAACUUAUAUUUCUGACUUUUAGCAUAUGACAUGGGGAAGAACAUCAGGACCUGGUUGCACUUGAAGGGCUGCAGUAGCUUUCUGUAAGCAGUGAGUUGGCAGGAGAGCUUGAGAGGUCUGGGUGAGAAGGCUCCUAUCUGUAGAGUGUAGGUCCAUAUACAGAUCUCAUUUGGUUCCUUUCAUUGUCGUGUCUGAGUGCAUCAGUUACAUCUGAGCACCUACGUAUUGAAUGUAAAAGUGUGCAAAGUCUUGCAUUGCUGGGAGCUCAUUUUGAAAUCAGGCAACUUGGCAUUGCUUUAGGUGUAUCUACUUUCCCAUGGAAAAUUCAGUUUGUUUCUGUGUUGUACCUGACUUGAUUCUACAGUAUUAGAUGCAAACUCAAAAGCUGCACGGAAGAACAAAGUUCAUCACUCUUGAAUAAGAUUGAUUAAUCAGACUAUUUCAAGAUGCAGCAAGGGAACGUUUUAGGGAUGCUGCUGCAGUCAUCAGAACCAUGAAGAAAUCAAAUGAAAUAUCCCCAACCAUCAGCAACAUAAAGGAGGUUUAACACGGGUGUUUGAAACCGCUUGGCUAGACAGAGACCUGCAAGUGCAACAUAUAUGUUUUAUAUAUUAUGCUUUUAUUAUAUUCUCAUUCCUAUCUGAUUGCCCAAUGCUGAGGCGUUUGUGUGUCUUCCAAACAUACAUUGAAAGAGCAUAUCACAUAUGUUUUCUCCUCCAUUUCUCCCUACGGGAAGCAAGAUGGAUGGUGCCAAAACGGCGUACUUUGCGCUGGGAUGCGUGAAGGCAGUUGGCUGCCCACGCCACUGGGAGCGUCGACUGAACGUGGGUCCUCCAGGGCUGGAA